GAUGAACGCUGGCGGCGUGCCUAAUACAUGCAAGUCGAGCGAACGGACGAGAAGCUUGCUUCUCUGAUGUUAGCGGCGGACGGGUGAGUAACACGUGGAUAACCUACCUAUAAGACUGGGAUAACUUCGGGAAACCGGAGCUAAUACCGGAUAAUAUUUUGAACCGCAUGGUUCAAAAGUGAAAGACGGUCUUGCUGUCACUUAUAGAUGGAUCCGCGCUGCAUUAGCUAGUUGGUAAGGUAACGGCUUACCAAGGCAACGAUGCAUAGCCGACCUGAGAGGGUGAUCGGCCACACUGGAACUGAGACACGGUCCAGACUCCUACGGGAGGCAGCAGUAGGGAAUCUUCCGCAAUGGGCGAAAGCCUGACGGAGCAACGCCGCGUGAGUGAUGAAGGUCUUCGGAUCGUAAAACUCUGUUAUUAGGGAAGAACAUAUGUGUAAGUAACUGUGCACAUCUUGACGGUACCUAAUCAGAAAGCCACGGCUAACUACGUGCCAGCAGCCGCGGUAAUACGUAGGUGGCAAGCGUUAUCCGGAAUUAUUGGGCGUAAAGCGCGCGUAGGCGGUUUUUUAAGUCUGAUGUGAAAGCCCACGGCUCAACCGUGGAGGGUCAUUGGAAACUGGAAAACUUGAGUGCAGAAGAGGAAAGUGGAAUUCCAUGUGUAGCGGUGAAAUGCGCAGAGAUAUGGAGGAACACCAGUGGCGAAGGCGACUUUCUGGUCUGUAACUGACGCUGAUGUGCGAAAGCGUGGGGAUCAAACAGGAUUAGAUACCCUGGUAGUCCACGCCGUAAACGAUGAGUGCUAAGUGUUAGGGGGUUUCCGCCCCUUAGUGCUGCAGCUAACGCAUUAAGCACUCCGCCUGGGGAGUACGACCGCAAGGUUGAAACUCAAAGGAAUUGACGGGGACCCGCACAAGCGGUGGAGCAUGUGGUUUAAUUCGAAGCAACGCGAAGAACCUUACCAAAUCUUGACAUCCUUUGACAACUCUAGAGAUAGAGCUUUCCCCUUCGGGGGACAAAGUGACAGGCGGUGCAUGGUUGUCGUCAGCUCGUGUCGUGAGAUGUUGGGUUAAGUCCCGCAACGAGCGCAACCCUUAAGCUUAGUUGCCAUCAUUAAGUUGGGCACUCUAAGUUGACUGCCGGUGACAAACCGGAGGAAGGUGGGGAUGACGUCAAAUCAUCAUGCCCCUUAUGAUUUGGGCUACACACGUGCUACAAUGGACAAUACAAAGGGCAGCGAAACCGUGAGGUCAAGCAAAUCCCAUAAAGUUGUUCUCAGUUCGGAUUGUAGUCUGCAACUCGACUACAUGAAGCUGGAAUCGCUAGUAAUCGUAGAUCAGCAUGCUACGGUGAAUACGUUCCCGGGUCU
Molecule: ribosomal RNA, 1372 nt
Filed under: uncultured bacterium
Lineage: Bacteria
Description: bacterial SSU rRNA
Rfam family: Bacterial small subunit ribosomal RNA
Source: RNAcentral